CGCUGGCGGCGUGCUUAACACAUGCAAGUCGAACGAUGAACCACUUCGGUGGGGAUUAGUGGCGAACGGGUGAGUAACACGUGGGCAAUCUGCCCUUCACUCUGGGACAAGCCCUGGAAACGGGGUCUAAUACCGGAUAACACUCCUGUCCUCCUGGACGGGGGUUAAAAGCUCCGGCGGUGAAGGAUGAGCCCGCGGCCUAUCAGCUUGUUGGUGAGGUAAUGGCUCACCAAGGCGACGACGGGUAGCCGGCCUGAGAGGGCGACCGGCCACACUGGGACUGAGACACGGCCCAGACUCCUACGGGAGGCAGCAGUGGGGAAUAUUGCACAAUGGGCGAAAGCCUGAUGCAGCGACGCCGCGUGAGGGAUGACGGCCUUCGGGUUGUAAACCUCUUUCAGCAGGGAAGAAGCGAAAGUGACGGUACCUGCAGAAGAAGCGCCGGCUAACUACGUGCCAGCAGCCGCGGUAAUACGUAGGGCGCAAGCGUUGUCCGGAAUUAUUGGGCGUAAAGAGCUCGUAGGCGGCUUGUCACGUCGGGUGUGAAAGCCCGGGGCUUAACCCCGGGUCUGCAUUCGAUACGGGCUAGCUAGAGUGUGGUAGGGGAGAUCGGAAUUCCUGGU
RNAcentral lists this ribosomal RNA (623 nucleotides) under Streptomyces chartreusis. RNAcentral describes it as "bacterial SSU rRNA". It matches the Rfam family "Bacterial small subunit ribosomal RNA", at positions 34 to 674 of the family's 1533-position model. Lineage: Bacteria; Bacillati; Actinomycetota; Actinomycetes; Kitasatosporales; Streptomycetaceae. The record is from RNAcentral.